This 254-nucleotide ribosomal RNA is filed under the name uncultured bacterium. RNAcentral's name for it is "partial 16S ribosomal RNA". It matches the Rfam family "Bacterial small subunit ribosomal RNA", at positions 524 to 776 of the family's 1533-position model. The record is from RNAcentral.
UACGGGGGGAGCAAGCGUUGUUCGGAUUUACUGGGCGUAAAGGGCGCGUAGGCGGUCGUGACAAGUCACUUGUGAAAUCUCCGGGCUUAACUCGGAACGGUCAAGUGAUACUGUCGGACUAGAGUACAGAAGGGGCAACUGGAAUUCUCGGUGUAGCGGUGAAAUGCGUAGAUAUCGAGAGGAACACCUGCGGCGAAGGCGGGUCUCUGGGCAGUAACUGACGCUGAGGAGCGAAAGCGUGGGGAGCGAACAGG